RNAcentral lists this ribosomal RNA (2054 nucleotides) under uncultured Synechococcus sp. Its description in RNAcentral is "bacterial SSU rRNA". The stretch from base 1 to 1323 matches the Rfam family "Bacterial small subunit ribosomal RNA", at positions 191 to 1533 of the family's 1533-position model. The record is from RNAcentral. Lineage: Bacteria; Bacillati; Cyanobacteriota; Cyanophyceae; Synechococcales; Synechococcaceae.
GCCGAGAGGUGAAACGAAUUUCGCCUGAGGAUGAGCUCGCGUCUGAUUAGCUAGUUGGUGGGGUAAGGGCUUACCAAGGCUUCGAUCAGUAGCUGGUCUGAGAGGAUGAUCAGCCACACUGGGACUGAGACACGGCCCAGACUCCUACGGGAGGCAGCAGUGGGGAAUUUUCCGCAAUGGGCGAAAGCCUGACGGAGCAACGCCGCGUGAGGGAUGAAGGCCUCUGGGCUGUAAACCUCUUUUCUCAAGGAAGAAGAUCUGACGGUACUUGAGGAAUAAGCCACGGCUAAUUCCGUGCCAGCAGCCGCGGUAAUACGGGAGUGGCAAGCGUUAUCCGGAAUUAUUGGGCGUAAAGCGUCCGCAGGCGGCCUUGUAAGUCUGUCGUUAAAGCGUGGAGCUUAACUCCAUUUAAGCGAUGGAAACUACAGGGCUGGAGUGUGGUAGGGGCAGAGGGAAUUCCCGGUGUAGCGGUGAAAUGCGUAGAUAUCGGGAAGAACACCAGUGGCGAAGGCGCUCUGCUGGGCCAUAACUGACGCUCAUGGACGAAAGCCAGGGGAGCGAAAGGGAUUAGAUACCCCUGUAGUCCUGGCCGUAAACGAUGAACACUAGGUGUCGGGGGAAUCGACCCCCUCGGUGUCGUAGCCAACGCGUUAAGUGUUCCGCCUGGGGAGUACGCACGCAAGUGUGAAACUCAAAGGAAUUGACGGGGGCCCGCACAAGCGGUGGAGUAUGUGGUUUAAUUCGAUGCAACGCGAAGAACCUUACCAGGGUUUGACAUCCUGCGAACCCCUUGGAAACGAGGGGGUGCCUUCGGGAGCGCAGAGACAGGUGGUGCAUGGCUGUCGUCAGCUCGUGUCGUGAGAUGUUGGGUUAAGUCCCGCAACGAGCGCAACCCACGUCGUUAGUUGCCAGCAUUCAGUUGGGCACUCUAGCGAGACCGCCGGUGAUAAACCGGAGGAAGGUGUGGAUGACGUCAAGUCAUCAUGCCCCUUACAUCCUGGGCUACACACGUACUACAAUGCUACGGACAAAGGGUCGCAAACUCGCGAGAGCUAGCCAAUCCCAUAAACCGCGGCUCAGUUCAGAUCGUAGGCUGCAACUCGCCUACGUGAAGGAGGAAUCGCUAGUAAUCGCAGGUCAGCAUACUGCGGUGAAUACGUUCCCGGGCCUUGUACACACCGCCCGUCACACCAUGGAAGUUGGCCACGCCCGAAGUCGUUACUCCAACCCCUGUGGAGGAGGACGCCGAGGGUGGGGCUGAUGACUGGGGUGAAGUCGUAACAAGGUAGCCGUACCGGAAGGUGCGGCUGGAUCACCUCCUAACAGGGAGACAAACAAUGGUCUUGAUGCUUGAUCCAAUUUUGUGGUUAAGCCGAGAUCCUGUCAUCUCGAAGGUCGAUCGGUACCUCACGUUGCCAGCCAGGGUCAGCGUUACCUCGUUUGAGGAUGCGCAAGUGAUCUGGCGUGCAAUGAUCAGUUCCUAAACUUUGUCUAGGUCACCCCAGAGCGGGUAAACUCCUGGGCCAUUAGCUCAGGUGGUUAGGGCGCACCCCUGAUAAGGGUGAGGUCCCUGGUUCAAGUCCAGGAUGGCCCAUUCAGCGCCUGCGUAGCAGGCUGGACUUGAUGGCUGGGGGUUUAGCUCAGUUGGUAGAGCGCCUGCUUUGCAAGCAGGAUGUCAGCGGUUCGAGUCCGCUAACCUCCACUGAACGCGGCCCCACAGACAGGACCAGGAGUCCUGCGGGAUGAUCUAGCGGCGGUAAGCGCUGGAGCGAACGGAUUGAUUUCAGCCUCCACCCAUUCCCUUAGGGGUUGGAUGGAUGCUGAACUCAGCAUCGCUUGAGCCAUCGAUGAGAUGGUUCAAGGGAUGUGUGUUCAGCGAGAACCUUGACAACUGCAUAGGUGAGUCUGGAAAGAAAGCAUCUCAUGGAUGCUCCAGUGCAAUGGAGGCGAUCAGGCCGCAAGCCUGAUGGAAGCCGUUGUGCUGGAGAGAUUCAAUGAAAAGAAGAGCCGAGCACGGCAACCGUAUCUGACCUCUCGAGCAGAGGUGGCCAGAG